GGGCCGGUAGCUCAGCUCGGAAGAGCAUCCGCCUUUUAAGCGGAUGGUCGCGGGUUCAAAAAUAGUGGGCUUUCGCCCAUUGUUGAACGUCCCGUCCGGCCCG
This 103-nucleotide transfer RNA is filed under the name Candidatus Woesearchaeota archaeon. Its description in RNAcentral is "tRNA-Lys". It matches the Rfam family "tRNA". Rfam says of the family: Transfer RNA (tRNA) molecules are approximately 80 nucleotides in length. Their secondary structure includes four short double-helical elements and three loops (D, anti-codon, and T loops). Lineage: Archaea; Nanobdellati; Candidatus Woesearchaeota. The record is from RNAcentral.